This 1608-nucleotide long non-coding RNA is filed under the name Helianthus annuus (common sunflower). Lineage: Eukaryota; Viridiplantae; Streptophyta; Magnoliopsida; Asterales; Asteraceae. The record is from RNAcentral.
UUUUUGAAACCGCCUGAAUUUUGGAAACUAAUCAAUUCUCUCAAUCAAUUGAAAUCAUUUUCCACUCAAACCCUAAAUCAUUCUUUCAGCCGUUUCUCUCUGGCUUCACUCUACAUCCUCUUCAAAUCAAACUUGGAUCCAUGGAUUAUUUUCAAUGAAGAAUCUAACUGAUGUUGCUGAAUGUUUGAUAUCCCUCUCCAAUUGCGAAGCAUUGAUACGACUCCAUCAUACAUCGAUUUUGUCUUCAUCAUCCUUCGAAACUGAAGCAUCAUGAUGUGUGUGGAAUUUAAUCCUGUGGAUGAUAAUUAUUUCAUUAGCGAUUCCAUAGACGGCAAAGUACGCAUAUGGGAUGUGUAUGAAAAGUUUGUUAUCUUAUUUAUAGGUGAGAGUUCAACUAGGUUAGGAUCUACAGGUCGUCUCACAAAGCUAUAUUGAAGCACGACGAAAUUGGUGCCUUCCAUAUGCAUCAGUGGUCGUAUUCUGACAAAAGGCUUCCGGCUACAAGUGGCAGCUCCCGGUGCAUAAAGGCAGCAUUGAGUGUUUGUUUAAUGGUGGAAAUGGAGAAUCUGGCAACCCAGACAGCAGAGCCGACUGAUUUAGGGACCAGCUAUGUUAAUCCAGCAAGCACGGUUAUCAUGUUCUUUGUUCCAAUUUGCUAGAUCCAGAGUUUAAACAUUGGCUGAUAUUUAUUAUUCUUGUGUUUAGAGGCGUUGGUGUUGAUUAAGAUAAGAUAAUUUAUAUUGUGUCUAACUGUAUUAACCAUAUAAAAACUUUAUAUAUAUACAGUAAGUUACUACUUGUUUGAUUCUGCUUGAUGAAUAAUGUUGUAUGUUGCUUGACUAGGUUGCUGGACACUUCACGUAUGGUGUAAUGGCAAUUUCGGCUGCCACAUUUGUGUUUUGGAGUACUGUUGGUACACGUAUAUUACCGGUCGCUUUUCAGCAAGGAAGUGCCAUGUCAUUAGCAUUGCAGCUCUCAUGCAUCUGAUGAGCAUUUCGAGCUAAAUUCAAAUGAGAAAUGGUCUGAAACCGAUGUACUGAAGCUAGCUGCUGCAGGAGAAUCCAACACACUUCAUCCAAUUGGGAAAGCUAUUCUGGAAGCUGCCCGGGCUGCUAAAUGUUCUAACGUAAAGGCUGAUGAUGGAACAUUUAUGGAAGAACCUGGAUCUGGUGCCGUAGCCUCUUGUGGGAAGAAGAUGGUUUCUGUCGGUACAUUGGAAUGGGUUAGAAGGCAUGGAGUUGCUGAGAAUCCGUUUAUAGAAACUGAAGAAUUUAAAAAUCAAUCAGUUGUGUAUGUCGGGAUAGAUGGUGUGCUUGCAGGUCUUAUUUAUGUUGAGGAUCAGAUAAGAGAAGAUGCUGCAAAAUCAUUCUUGCGUUCAAAAGAUUCCAACCCAUGACCUCCAUAUAUUAGUAUAUGUUAUAUGUUUGUGUUAAGCCACCCGCGAAGCUCGCGGGAUCUUAGGCUAGUUAGUUAUAAAUUAAAACGAGAUCUUUUAAGUUUUAAAAGUAUAAAUAUAAAAAAAGCUGUUUCUCUUCUGUUCCAACAUGCCGGUUUUGUUUUUGUUGUAAUAACAUGAAUAAAGAAACGUACCAGAACAUGAACUUGUAG